AUUGAACGCUGGCGGCAUGCCUUACACAUGCAAGUCGAACGGUAACGCGGGGCAACCUGGCGACGAGUGGCGAACGGGUGAGUAAUGCAUCGGAACGUGCCUGGUAGUGGGGGAUAACUGCUCGAAAGAGCAGCUAAUACCGCAUACGACCUGAGGGUGAAAGGGGGGGAUCGCAAGACCUCUCGCUAUCGGAGCGGCCGAUGUCGGAUUAGCUAGUUGGUGGGGUAAAGGCCCACCAAGGCAACGAUCCGUAGCUGGUCUGAGAGGACGACCAGCCACACUGGGACUGAGACACGGCCCAGACUCCUACGGGAGGCAGCAGUGGGGAAUUUUGGACAAUGGACGCAAGUCUGAUUCAGCAAUGCCGCGUGCGGGAAGAAGGCCUUCGGGUUGUAAACCGCUUUUGUCAGGGAAGAAAUCUUCUGGGUUAAUACCUCGGGAGGAUGACGGUACCUGAAGAAUAAGCACCGGCUAACUACGUGCCAGCCGCCGCAGUAA
RNAcentral lists this ribosomal RNA (498 nucleotides) under uncultured bacterium. RNAcentral describes it as "partial 16S ribosomal RNA". It matches the Rfam family "Bacterial small subunit ribosomal RNA", at positions 29 to 523 of the family's 1533-position model. The record is from RNAcentral.